This 262-nucleotide ribosomal RNA is filed under the name uncultured bacterium. RNAcentral's name for it is "partial 16S ribosomal RNA". It matches the Rfam family "Bacterial small subunit ribosomal RNA", at positions 93 to 354 of the family's 1533-position model. The record is from RNAcentral.
UAGUGGCGGACGGGUGAGUAACGCGUGGGUAACCUGCCAUAUACAGGGGGAUAACACUUAGAAAUAGGUGCUAAUACCGCAUAAGCGCACAGGGGCGCAUGCCCCGGUGUGAAAAACUCCGGUGGUAUAUGAUGGACCCGCGUCGUGAUUAGCCAGUUGGCAGGGUAACGGCCUACCAAAGCGACGAUCAGUAGCCGGCCUGAGAGGGCGGACGGCCACAUUGGGACUGAGACACGGCCCAAACUCCUACGGGAGGCAGCAG